AUACGUAGGGGGCGAGCGUUGUCCGGAUUUACUGGGCGUAAAGAGUGCGUAGGUGGUUUUGUAAGCGCGGGGUGAAAGGCUAUGGCUCAACCAUAGUAAGCCUUGCGAACUGUGAGACUUGAGUGCAGGAGAGGAAAGUGGAAUUCCUAGUGUAGCGGUGAAAUGCGUAGAUAUUAGGAGGAACACCAGUGGCGAAGGCGACUUACUGGACUGUAACUGACGCUGAGUCACGAAAGCGUGGGUAGC
This 246-nucleotide ribosomal RNA is filed under the name uncultured bacterium. RNAcentral describes it as "partial 16S ribosomal RNA". It matches the Rfam family "Bacterial small subunit ribosomal RNA", at positions 523 to 769 of the family's 1533-position model. The record is from RNAcentral.